Long non-coding RNA from Leptonychotes weddellii (Weddell seal), 1251 nucleotides. RefSeq lists it as uncharacterized. Lineage: Eukaryota; Metazoa; Chordata; Mammalia; Carnivora; Phocidae. The record is from RefSeq and is a predicted model, not a curated record.
CAAUGUCUCAUAUUUAUAUAGAGCUGACUGUCUAAAUAAUUUGAAGUUCCAAGUUUAGGUGCAUUUUAUGACACACAGAGGAGUAAGAAGCCAUUUCCAGGUCUGGAGUCUGAGGAAACUGAGAAGACGUAUGGAAUGUUAAUAAAGAAAGGGGACCAUAUACUGGUAAAUUUUUCCAAGGACUCAGAGCACAUCUUCUGGAGAAACUUCUUGUCCUUUGGGCCCAUGAACCAAAUAUGCUUACCAGACCCUUAUUGGUCAAAAGACUUCCACAAGAUGGCUGUGCAGGAAGAUCCUGAACUUACCUCCUCCCAUGGACAGACCAGAUCUACAGCUCCAGGUGGAUCAUGUCCCUCUAAAAGAGAUCUGAAAACUGCUUCUCCACAACAAACAUAAAGACCAUAUUGAGAUGAUAGGGUCCUGGCACAUCAUCAACAAUAAGGAUGUAUGAAGAUCAAUCAGGCAGUUUAGAUAAUCACAAAGGUUUGAGAGACAACCAAAAACUAAGGCAAGGUUGAAUAAGUGUCAUUACCUAUACAAAGCCAUUCCUUCAAGACAGAGAAGUAGCUGUUUCACCUAAUAUAUAGAAACAGACAUAAAAAGUCAAACAAAAAUGAUAAAACAGAGAAAUGUAUUCCAAGUGAAAGAACAAGACAAAACUUAAGAAAAAGACCUUAAUGAUAUGGAGAUAAGUAAUCUGCCUGUAAAGAAUUCAAAGAAAUUGUCAAAAAGAUGCUCAUCAAACUCAGGAGAACCUCGACCAAGAGAUAGAAAACAUAAAUACCAAACAAACAUCACGAUGCUGAGAAUACAAUCACUGAAUUGAAAAAUACACAAGAGGAGUUCAACAGCAGACUAGAUGAAGCAGAGAAUAGAUCAGUGGGCUGGAAGACAAAGCAAUGGAACUCACCUAGACAGAGCAGCAAAAAAAAAAAAAAAGUAAGUUUAAAAUAUGAAAAUAACUUAAGGGACAUUUGGAAUAACAUCAAGUGGAAUAACAUUCACAUUAUAGGGAUCCUACGAGGAGAAGAGGGAGAGGAAUGGACCGAAAACUUAUUUGAAGAAAUAAGUCAGGCUGAAACUUGCCUGAUCUAGGGAAAACAUAGACAUCCAGGUCCCAGAAGCCCAGAGAGCUCCAAGUAAGAUGAACCCAAAGAAAGCUACACCAAGACACACUGUAAUGGAAAUGUAAAAAGAUGAAGAUAAGGAGAGAAUCUUAAAAGAAGUAAGAGAAAAACAAAUUGUUACAUA